RNAcentral lists this long non-coding RNA (225 nucleotides) under Medicago truncatula (barrel medic). RNAcentral's name for it is "long non-coding RNA (MTRU_LNC003951)". The record is from RNAcentral. Lineage: Eukaryota; Viridiplantae; Streptophyta; Magnoliopsida; Fabales; Fabaceae.
AAUAUCCAUCCGGCUACAAGCUUUCUAAAUCUUGCUAAACCAACUUGCUGAUAUGAAACAAAUAAGGAUUGGGAUGAGACAUAAUGUCUCAGUGAAUUCUACCUAAUCCUAGGCUAUAGGUAACCUCGAGGAAACCUAGGGUCACCACGUGUCUACAAUACAACCUGUCGGUUGAUAAUAUGUGUUGCAUCAUGCUUUCCUAUACAGUUGUGCAUACUAGAUCCG